UCCACCCCGGCGCUGGGGGCGCCCGCCCCGCCUGCGCCUGCGGCUCCCCGGGGACCCGCCGAGCGCUCCGCCCUCCUGGAGCGCCACUCUGCGGGCGGGGGCUCGGAGAGACGUCUGGGCCAGCGCCCCGGGUCACAUGGAGGUGAGAAGGGCGUCACACACGCCCCUCUACUUCCAAACUGGGGACUGUUUGAUCCCCUGGGGAGACAGAAUAUUCCCGUCGACUUGACCUGGACUAGUACUGACCGCUCCAAGGAACCCUGUCAUGCCGACCUGGCCACGGAACCCGGAGCCCCCAUGGUCCUUCUAGAGAAGAAGGCCUCUAGCCCCAUGCCAGAGGAGCUUUGGUGGCUGCGGCUGGCGGUGACAGGCAGGAGCAGUGCUGUUCAGUGGUUAAGAUUGAAGGCUAGAACCAGCUUGCCUGAGUUCAAAGCCCUGCUCCACCACGGAUGAGUUACCCACCUUCUCUGGACUUAGCUUCUGUAUCACCAAAUGGAAGUAAUAAUUGUCCCUAUACCUUUAAUGCCUCAGGGUUGGAACUCUUGCUUAGGCUGAGAGGAAGGAAGAACUGGGCUCAGAAACGCCAUGCGGGAAUGGCUAGAGGAUGAGCUGGGCUAGGCAGGAGAAACAGGGAAAGAAGAUCUGAAGCCAAGUUGGGCCUAUGUUCUUACACCUGGCACUUGCAGGCCUUAGGUCUGGUCCCGCUGGGCUCGGGAAGGGGCCCAAGUCCAGCCCCCAGGCCUUGGUCCAGGUUGGCACACCACCAGGCUGCUGGCCAGGCCUGGAGCCUCAGCAUUCCCAGUGGGCUGGGCUGCCAUCUUGUGGCCACACCCGGAAACUAACCUAAGCAGGGCCCUGGCAGACCAGCCCCGGAGGGCAGCGGGGCUGUGACCCUAGGCAGUGGGGCUGGCAGGUGUCCCCCGCUUAGAUCAGACCUCCUCCCUCCGGUGGGCACGGGCGCUAACAUAGAGAU
Molecule: long non-coding RNA, 973 nt
Filed under: Chinchilla lanigera (long-tailed chinchilla)
Lineage: Eukaryota; Metazoa; Chordata; Mammalia; Rodentia; Chinchillidae
Description: lncRNA (ENSCLAG00000025081.1)
Source: RNAcentral